This 425-nucleotide ribosomal RNA is filed under the name uncultured cyanobacterium. RNAcentral's name for it is "bacterial SSU rRNA". It matches the Rfam family "Bacterial small subunit ribosomal RNA", at positions 357 to 796 of the family's 1533-position model. Lineage: Bacteria; Bacillati; Cyanobacteriota. The record is from RNAcentral.
GGGAAUUUUCCGCAAUGGGCGAAAGCCUGACGGAGCAAUACCGCGUGAGGGAUGACGGCCUAUGGGUUGUAAACCUCUUUUUUCAGGGAGGAAUCAAUGACGUGUACCUGAAGAAUAAGCAUCGGCUAACUCCGUGCCAGCAGCCGCGGUAAGACGGAGGAUGCAAGUGUUAUCCGGAAUCACUGGGCGUAAAGCGUCUGUAGGUGGUUUGAUAAGUCAACUGUUAAAUCUUGAGGCUCAACCUCAAAAUCGCAGUCGAAACUAUUAGACUAGAGUAUAGUAGGGGUAAAGGGAAUUUCCAGUGGAGCGGUGAAAUGCGUAGAUAUUGGAAAGAACACCGAUGGCGAAGGCACUUUACUGGGCUAUUACUAACACUCAGAGACGAAAGCUAGGGUAGCAAAUGGGAUUAGAUACCCCAGUAGUCA